GGGGGGGGGGGGGGGGGGGGGGGGGGCGGGCAGGGCGGACGGUGGAGCGCCUUCCGGGUGGGUGGGGGUGGGUGAGUGGCGAACGGGUGAGUAACACGUGAGUAACCUGCCCCCUUCUUCUGGAUAACCGCAUGAAAGUGUGGCUAAUACGGGAUAUUCUGGGUCUGUCGCAUGAUGGGUCUGGGAAAGAUAUUGUUUCGGUGGGGGAUGGGCUCGCGGCCUAUCAGCUUGUUGGUGGGGUGAUGGCCUACCAAGGCGGUGACGGGUAGCCGGCCUGAGAGGGUGGACGGUCACACUGGGACUGAGACACGGCGCAGACUCCUACGGGAGGCAGCAGUGGGGAAUAUUGCACAAUGGGCGCAAGCCUGAUGCAGCGACGCCGCGUGAGGGAUGGAGGCCUGCGGGUUGUGAACCUCUUUCGCCAGUGAAGCAGGCCUGCCUCGUUUGUGGGUGGGUUGACGGUAGCUGGAGAAGAAGCGCCGGCUAACUACGUG
This 494-nucleotide ribosomal RNA is filed under the name uncultured bacterium. RNAcentral's name for it is "partial 16S ribosomal RNA". It matches the Rfam family "Bacterial small subunit ribosomal RNA", at positions 37 to 507 of the family's 1533-position model. The record is from RNAcentral.